GACAGAGGUGCCGAGCGUUAGGCGGAAUCACUGGGCUUAAAGCGUGUGUAGGCGGGGCCGUUAAGUGUCUUGUGAAAUCCCCCCCGGCUCAACCGGGGGAAUUGCUGGGGCAUACUGGCGGUCUUGAGCAGUUUCAGGGGGCAGAUGGAAACAAGUGGUGGGAGCGGUGAAAAUGCGUAGAUAUCACUUGGAACGCCAACGGUGAAAAAACAGUCUGCUGGGGAACUUGCUGACGCUGAGACACGAAAAGCCAGGGGGAGCGAACGGGG
RNAcentral lists this ribosomal RNA (269 nucleotides) under uncultured bacterium. RNAcentral describes it as "partial 16S ribosomal RNA". It matches the Rfam family "Bacterial small subunit ribosomal RNA", at positions 524 to 777 of the family's 1533-position model. The record is from RNAcentral.